UACAGAGGGGGCAAGCGUUGUUCGGAAUUACUGGGCGUAAAGGGCGCGUAGGCGGCCUUCUAAGUCGAACGUGAAAUCCCUGGGCUCAACCCAGGAACUGCGUCCGAUGCUGGAAGGCUUGAAUCCGGGAGAGGGAUGCGGAAUUCCAGGUGUAGCGGUGAAAUGCGUAGAUAUCUGGAGGAACACCGGUGGCGAAGGCGGCAUCCUGGACCGGUAUUGACGCUGAGGCGCGAAAGCCAGGGGAGCAAACGGG
This 253-nucleotide ribosomal RNA is filed under the name uncultured bacterium. RNAcentral's name for it is "partial 16S ribosomal RNA". It matches the Rfam family "Bacterial small subunit ribosomal RNA", at positions 524 to 776 of the family's 1533-position model. The record is from RNAcentral.